AAAUUUGCUUGACUUAUUUACUUUGGCUUUAAGCUUUAUCAUGCAAAUGGAUUAUUCUAUAAUAAAUGAAUUUGUACAGUUCAUAACUUAUUUGCUUUUUCGGUUGGGAGGUGAACAAAAGAAAAGGUGGUCCUAGACUCUUGCACAGUACUGUACUUAUGAGAGUGAGGAAUUGCGCGGCACAUGUGGGCCUUCAUUUAACAUCAUAACCCUAUUCCAGAGUUGUUACAUCACUCAUGCCUGAUCUAACUGUCUUGUACGGGUAAUAUGUUUCUCUUUCACUUCAGUCUCGCUGGCCUCUGGCCACUGGAUGAACUGUGGGACGAAUGAGGAAAAGGUGGUUCGUCUUGGAGAUAAAGUAACUCUGCAUUGUGACUGUAGAAAGGACCCAGGCUGGGAAAUCCACUGGGUGAGAAGCUGUUCUCCGUUAGUCCACCCAAUGUCCAUCUCUUCAUACGAGUCCCUUAUAAACCCAAUCCCCCAGUUCUCUAUGAAGUGGAAUGCUGCAUAUGAAUCCAUGGAUCUCAUCAUCGAGAACAUCACAGAGUCCGAUCUGGGGCUUUACUACUGUGCUAAGGUUGAUUCUAAAAUGAACGACGACAAGGAUGGGAAGCUAGCGAUGAAUGAAGUGUACCACAUUUGUAAUACAUCCACAAAGCUUUCAUACGAAGUGAUUAUGGAGUCUGACAGUGAUCAGAGAGGACCAAUCCACAGGCAGCAAACCAGUGAGGAACAGGACAAAGACACACAAGUGUACUACGCUUCACUGAACAUUCCCAAAGAUGCAAGCAGACGGAUCAAGAGGAACCCCCCAAUGAACCCUGACUUCAGUUUGUACAGUGAGCUCAAUAAGGCCAAAAAGGAACAAGAUUAGGGCUUUAGAUGUGAUUAAUACGUCCAUCAAGAUUUCACUUAGUUUUUUCUUAAAUUUGUUCUUGAGAAAGGUCCUAAGAAAAAGUCUACGUCAGAUUCAUGAUGUGUUCUUCAACCGCAGAACACACAUGGUUCACACUUUUGUGCUCUUGAGUGUGUGUAGAUUCUGUUCUUACCAAAAAACAAAGAAAACAAGGUGGGCUUUAAGAAGAAAUUUCUUCUUACGAAUGGUUGGUGAAUGAGACCCAUUGUUAGCCAGGAGAAUUAAUGUUAAAUCCACAUGUAAUCUUUUCUGCAACAUUAACAAUGGAAGGAAUUUUUGCUUUUUUUUUUGGUCUUGCUGAAUUGAAGUGGAACAUAGAGAGGCUAUUUCUUUAAAUGCUUUAUACAUAUAAAAUGUGGCUUUUUUCCAGGCACAUUUAUUACUAAAGGCAGAUUUUGCUCACUGGCUGAUUUAUAGUUUAAAGCCAAGGCACCCUAUUUAGACUUUAUAACACUUCACCAAUUCUCUUAAAUUCUAUGUUCAAUUUUUCAGUUUUUUUAUUUGAUCUUUUUAUUCUUUCUUACAUUGCUUUGUUAAUGCCUUGUGCUUUGUGUGCUGCUUCAUGUAAAAUGCUAAUUAAAAGUUUACAAAAUGUAUGAAGCUGAUUAAGCAAUGCUUUUCCAAUUUUAUACGUCCUGAAGAAGCGUUGAAUUAGGAUUCAAAGCAUAAUGUCUGUAGCAUCAUGGAGCUAUGGUCUGUUUGUAGACCUUCAAUGCAAACUGAUGGAGC
Long non-coding RNA from Pygocentrus nattereri (red-bellied piranha), 1645 nucleotides. Lineage: Eukaryota; Metazoa; Chordata; Actinopteri; Characiformes; Serrasalmidae. The record is from Ensembl.